RNAcentral lists this ribosomal RNA (450 nucleotides) under uncultured Glomeromycotina. RNAcentral's name for it is "SSU rRNA". It matches the Rfam family "Eukaryotic small subunit ribosomal RNA", at positions 569 to 1028 of the family's 1831-position model. The record is from RNAcentral. Lineage: Eukaryota; Fungi; Glomeromycota.
AGCAGCCGCGGUAAUUCCAGCUCCAAUAGCGUAUAUUAAAGUUGUUGCAGUUAAAAGCUCGUAGUUGAAUUUCGGGGUUCUACCGUCGGUCGGGCUACCAAGUCUGUACUGGUGUGUAGAAUUUCUACCUUCUGGGGAACCAUCAUGUUAUUAAUUUAGCGUGGUGGGAAACCAGGACCUUUACCUUGAAAAAUUAGAGUGUUCAAAGCAGGCUUAUGUCUGAAUACAUUAGCAUGGAAUAAUAGAAUAGGACGGUGGUCCUGUUUUGUUGGUUUCUGAAUCACCGUAAUGAUUAAUAGGGAUAGUUGGGGCAUUAGUAUUCAAUUGUCAGAGGUGAAAUUCUUGGAUUUAUUGAAGACUAACUUCUGCGAAAGCAUUUGCCAAGGAUGUUUUCAUUAAUCAAGAACGAAAGUUAGGGAUCGAAGACGAUCAGAUACCGUCGUAGUCUUA